This 272-nucleotide unclassified non-coding RNA is filed under the name Hevea brasiliensis (rubber tree). Lineage: Eukaryota; Viridiplantae; Streptophyta; Magnoliopsida; Malpighiales; Euphorbiaceae. The record is from RNAcentral.
AAAAAUUCUAUACAUUGUCCAGAUUGGGAUUAGCUGGGCGAAAAUUAACUCAUUUAUUUGCUGGCAUCAAUUAGAGGUUUCCAUAUUUUCCUCCUUUAAUUAAUUAAUUGGAAUCUCACGUUGAUUGCGGCGCCGCAUUAUCACUACCAUUCGGUGCUGCCUGAAAUUAUAAAAAGGAAAUGCAAACGCUACCAAAAAAAGAAAAACAAAAGGCAGAUGGAAACAAUGCUAAUAAUCCACCAAAGAAAUUCUAAAAAAAAAUUCCCAAGAAG